Long non-coding RNA from Nematostella vectensis (starlet sea anemone), 590 nucleotides. RefSeq lists it as uncharacterized. The record is from RefSeq and is a predicted model, not a curated record. NCBI's taxonomy places the organism in Eukaryota, Metazoa, Cnidaria, Anthozoa, Actiniaria, Edwardsiidae. The transcript has 2 exons.
UCAGACGCAUCCUUCUCUGGGAUGCCUGACUCCAUGCAGUAUUUGACCUGGUGAUUAAAUGACACGUCAUAUCACGGCCACGUCACAGUAUUUGACCUGGUGAUUAAAAACGACUUCAUCAUCAAGUGUCUCAACAGGGGCUUCUGAAGACAUCACAGCGUGACAUGGACAGUAGUCACGUAACUCGACCAGUGUCUAGAGGAUACGAGUACGCAAAAACAGAGAUCUAUCCGUUAAAUAUCACGUCACGCACAGAACAUUACGAUUACAUCACGGGCACGUCACUGUAUUUCUCGCACAGAACGCACACCAAGUGGACGUUAGUAAAGGAUGCUUCUAUGGCAAUAUCGCGAAGGACGCGCAAAGUCAUAUACUAUACAAUUAUAUCACGGGCACGUCACGUACAGAAUUCUACCACGAAUCCAUGAUUAUAUCACGCAAAAAACAUUAUCACGAUAAUAUCACCGUCACGUCACGCACAAAACAUUAUCACGAUAAUAUCACGGGCACGUCAAACACAAAACAUCACGAUUAUAUCACGAGCACGUCACGCACAAAACAUCACGAUAAUAUCACGGGCACGUCACACA